Long non-coding RNA from Cynara cardunculus var. scolymus (artichoke), 209 nucleotides. RefSeq lists it as uncharacterized. The record is from RefSeq and is a predicted model, not a curated record. The transcript is spliced from 3 exons. Lineage: Eukaryota; Viridiplantae; Streptophyta; Magnoliopsida; Asterales; Asteraceae.
CAAUACCACUUUUGUUGAUUUCUCCAUCUGACUCCAUCGAGGAUUCAAACAAGCGCCACCACCCAUUACACUUAAGUACUUUGAAAGGUCAUGGGGAUUCCGUUAAUGGCUUAUGCUUUUCAUCGGAUGGACAUAGUUUGGAAACUGCUUAUGAAGAUGGUGUAAUCAGGGUAUUCAAGUUGGAUGAUGCUUCAAGCAAAAGCUUCAAG